GGAAGGCGAGCUGCAGUGGGCGUGGUCAGUGAGACGUGUGUGUGUGUGUGUGUGUGUGUGUGUGUGUGUGUGUAGGAGGUGUAGGAGGUGUUCAGGAAGGCGAGCUGCAGUGGGCGUGGUCAGUGAGACGAGUGUGUGUGUGUGUGUGUGUGUGUGUGCACCAGGUGUAGGAGGUGUCCAGGAAGGCGAGCUGCAGUGGGCGUGGUCAGUGAGACGGGCGUGCGUGAGCAGAGCGUCACUGAGACGCCGUCCGUCAGCCCGCAGUUCUAUUUGCUGCUGGACCACAGAGCGUGUAACGAUGAAAAGAUGCUCCACGUGGUCGGUUCUCAGAGAAGAGGAGUGUGUCCAUGCUGCUCCAGAGAAACAGAUGAGAGUGUUGUCUCUGAAGACACUGGGACUCAGAAAACACUUGUGGAUUUUGCAGACACACCGGAGUCAUGUAUGAAGCCCAGCGUUAAUCUGAUCUCUCUGGACGACUCACACACAUCAUCUCUGAUCUGAACAUCUGCUGCCUGUGUGUGUGUGUGUGUGUGUGUGUGUGUGUGUGUGUGUGUGUGUGUGUGUGUGUGUGUAAGCAGAGAUCUAAUGUGAGUGAUCAUUAGGGUUUGGGCUGUGCUGAUGUUUGAGGGUGUGAGGGUAUACUGUGAUAAAGACAUCUAAAUGAUCACUAAUGACAAACGCACAUCAGUAUCCAGAGCUCAGACAGAACUACAGACAUACAGUGAAUUCCAUUAAUAUUGGCACCCUUGGUAAAUAUGAGCAAAGUAGGCUGUGAAAAAUUGUCUUUAUUGUUUAACCUUCUGAUCUUUUGUUCAAAAUUCAUGCUCUCAUAGAUAUCAAACAAUCGCAAACACAACACAGGUUUAUGCAAAAAAUAAAAAUUCUUUGUUAAAUAUAGGUGUGCAACAAUUAUUGGCACUUCAGUGAAUUCAUGUGCGAAAAUAUAUUUGAAGUAUUGAUAUUCAUUGAUAUUUAAAAAAUAAUAAUAAUUAAUACACCUGGUGACUAGGAACAGGAAAGUGUUCAACCGUGACUUCCUGUUUCACAGGGGUAUAAAUAUGAG
Molecule: long non-coding RNA, 1063 nt
Organism: Ictalurus punctatus (channel catfish)
Lineage: Eukaryota; Metazoa; Chordata; Actinopteri; Siluriformes; Ictaluridae
Source: Ensembl